UCAAGUUAUUAAGGGUGCAGGGCGGAUGCCUUGGCACUAGGAGCCGAUGAAGGACGUGAUAAGCUGCGAUAAGCUUCGGGGAGUUGCACGUAAACUUUGAUCCGAAGAUUUCCGAAUGAGGAAACUCACUUAGAGUAAUGUCUAAGUAUCAUUAAGUGAAUACAUAGCUUAAUGAGGGGAACUCAGGGAACUGAAACAUCUAAGUACCUGAAGGAAGAGAAAGAAAUUCGAUUCCGUAAGUAGCGGCGAGCGAACGCGGAUUAGCCCAAACCAAUAAAGUUUUCUUUAUUGGGGUUGCGGACAUAUCAUAACGAAGAGGUAUCGUAAUUGAAGAGGUUUGGAAAGACCCACCACAGAAGGUAAUAGUCCUGUAUGUUAAACGAGAAGACUUCAGAUAUGAUCCAGAGUACCACGGGACACGUGAAACCCUGUGGGAAGCAGGAGGGACCACCCUCCAAGGCUAAAUACUACCUAGUGACCGAUAGCGUAUAGUACCGUGAGGGAAAGGUGAAAAGAACCCCGGGAGGGGAGUGAAAUAGAACCUGAAACCCUGCACUUACAAGCUGUGGAAGCACAUUUCUUGUGUGACCGCGUACUUUUUGUAGAACGGGCCAACGAGUUACGUUAAGUAGCAAGGUUAAGCACUUAAGGUGCGGAGCCGUAGCGAAAGCGAGUUUUAACUGAGCGUUCAGUUACUUGACGUAGACCCGAAACCGGGCGACCUACCCAUGAGCAGGAUGAAGCGAAAGUAAAAUUUCGUGGAGGUCCGAACCCACGAGCGUUGAAAAGCUCGGGGAUGACUUGUGGGUAGCGGUGAAAUUCCAAUCGAGCCCGGAGAUAGCUGGUUCUCCCCGAAAUAGCUUUAGGGCUAGCCUCAAGGUGAGAGAUACGGAGGUAGAGCACUGAAUGUCCUAGGGGGUAUUGCACCUACCGAAGACUAUCAAACUCCGAAUGCCGUCAUCUUAUACUUGGGAGUCAGACUGUGGGUGAUAAGAUUCAUAGUCGAAAGGGCAACAGCCCAGAUCGUCAGCUAAGGUCCCUAAAUGUAAGUUAAGUGGUAAAGGAUGUGGGAUUGCACAGACAACCAGGAUGUUGGCUUAGAAGCAGCCACUCAUUCAAAGAGUGCGUAAUAGCUCACUGGUCGAGUGAUCCUGCGCCGAAGAUUUCCGGGGCUAAAACUUACUACCGAAGCUACGGCAUCANAUGAUGGGUAGGGGAGCUUCCCAUACGGGUUGAAGCAUGACCGUAAGGACAUGUGGACAGUAUGGGAGUGAGAAUGUUGGCAUGAGUAGCGAGAUGUGGGUGAGAAUCCCACAGGCCGUAAACCCAAGGUUUCCAGGGGAAGGUUCGUCCGCCCUGGGUUAGUCGGGACCUAAGCUGAGGCCGAAAGGCGUAGGUGAUGGACAACAGGUUGAUAUUCCUGUACUACCGAUAACCGUUUGAGAGAAGGGAUGACACAGUAGGAUAAGCUAAGCACACUGUUGGUUAUGUGUGCCCAAGCAUUGAGGCAGUCAAAGCAGGCAAAUCCGCUUUGAUAAUGCUGGGAUGUGAUGGGGAGCGAAAUUUAGUAGCGAAGUAGCUGAUUUCACACUGUCAAGAAAAGUCUCUAUCGAGGUUAAAGGUACCCGUACCGCAAACCGACACAGGUGGGUGAGGAGAGUAUCCUAAGGCCAGCGAGAGAACUGUUGUUAAGGAACUCGGCAAAAUGACCCCGUAACUUAGGGAUAAGGGGUGCCACCAUCCGGUGGCCGCAGAGAAUAGGCCCAAGCGACUGUUUACCAAAAACAUAGGUUUCUGCUAAGUCGCAAGACGAUGUAUAGGAGCUGACGCCUGCCCGGUGCUGGAAGGUUAAGGGGAUCUGUUAGAGCAAUCGAAGCAGUGAACUUAAGCCCCAGUAAACGGCGGCCGUAACUAUAACGGUCCUAAGGUAGCGAAAUUCCUUGUCGGGUAAGUUCCGACCCGCACGAAAGGCGUAACGAUUUGGGCACUGUCUCAACAACAGACUCGGUGAAAUUGUAAUUCCGGUGAAGAUGCCGGAUACCUGCGACAGGACGGAAAGACCCCAUGGAGCUUUACUGUAGCUUGACAUUGGGUCUUGGUACUACAUGUACAGGAUAGGUGGGAGGCUUUGAAACCAGGACGCCAGUUUUGGCGGAGCCAUCCUUGGGAUACCACCCUUGUAGUACUGGGACUCUAACCAUAGGCCAUGAAUCUGGUCUUGGGACACUGUCAGGUGGGCAGUUUGACUGGGGCGGUCGCCUCCCAAAAGGUAACGGAGGCGCUCAAAGGUUCUCUCAGUACGGUCGGAAAUCGUACGUAGAGUGUAAAGGCAAAAGAGAGCUUGAUUGCAAGACAUACAGGUCGAGCAAGGAUGAAAAUCGGACUUAGUGAUCCGGUGGUUCUGCGUGGAAGGGCCAUCGCUCAACGGAUAAAAGCUACCCUGGGGAUAACAGGCUUAUCUCCCCCAAGAGUCCACAUCGACGGGGAGGUUUGGCACCUCGAUGUCGGCUCAUCACAUCCUGGGGCUGUAGUAGGUCCCAAGGGUUGGGCUGUUCGCCCAUUAAAGUGGUACGCGAGCUGGGUUCAGAACGUCGUGAGACAGUUCGGUCCCUAUCCGUCGCAGGCGUAGGAAAUUUGAGAAGACCUGUCCUUAGUACGAGAGGACCGGGAUGGACGUACCUCUGGUGUACCAGUUGUCCUGCCAAGGGCAUGGCUGGGUAGCUAUGUACGGAAUGGAUAAGCGCUGAAAGCAUCUAAGCGCGAAGCCAACUUCAAGAUAAGAUUUCCCACCGCAAGGGUAAGACCCCAGAAAGACUAUCUGGUUGAUAGGUCGAAGGUGUAAGUGCAGCAAUGUAUUUAGCUUAUCGAUACUAAUAGGUCGAGGACUUGACCAA
Molecule: ribosomal RNA, 2894 nt
Filed under: Clostridioides difficile
Lineage: Bacteria; Bacillati; Bacillota; Clostridia; Peptostreptococcales; Peptostreptococcaceae
Description: bacterial LSU rRNA
Rfam family: Bacterial large subunit ribosomal RNA
Source: RNAcentral